AGUCUUAUAUUCAUUAUUUGAAUGAUGUUAGAAUGCAAUUCUAGAGGUGUACACUUAAAUACUAAGACUU
This 70-nucleotide transfer RNA is filed under the name Pliacanthopus bimaculatus. RNAcentral describes it as "tRNA-Cys". The record is from RNAcentral. Lineage: Eukaryota; Metazoa; Arthropoda; Insecta; Mantodea; Nanomantidae.